Molecule: unclassified non-coding RNA, 258 nt
Filed under: Hevea brasiliensis (rubber tree)
Lineage: Eukaryota; Viridiplantae; Streptophyta; Magnoliopsida; Malpighiales; Euphorbiaceae
Source: RNAcentral
GGAAAUAGUUAUUUACAUGGUGCAUUCCAUAUAAAUGGCCGUAUAUUGUUCUGGAUGCUUGAUAAAUCAUCAUAGGCAGAAGAACUAGAUUAACUGUUUGUCUCCAUGUCGAAUACCCACUUCAAUAACUGGUGGUUCACCCAUAACGUACACUAGUGACAACAAGCUAACUGAUGCAAAUUUUCAGGGCAUUCCUCAGCUUGACUUCACCGUCUCGAUCGCUUGGAUUAAUUCAUCUAGUUUGGCACCUGUGACCUC